Molecule: non-coding RNA, 40 nt
Filed under: uncultured Ligilactobacillus sp.
Lineage: Bacteria; Bacillati; Bacillota; Bacilli; Lactobacillales; Lactobacillaceae
Description: PreQ1 riboswitch
Rfam family: PreQ1 (pre queuosine) riboswitch aptamer
About the family: This family is a bacterial riboswitch that binds to the metabolite preQ1, an intermediate in the biosynthesis of the modified nucleoside queuosine from GTP.
Source: RNAcentral
UAAAAGUGGUUCGUAAACAUCCCACUUAAAAAAACUAGGA